CCUGGGUGGAGUAUUCCCUCCUAGCUUAUUCUCUCCUGAUUCCAGGAAUCCUCCAACCAGGAUUCUGGGAAAACUGUGACAUUUUGGGAAAGUUACCUGAAUUUUGUAACCAUAGAUAGAUCAGGUUGGGUGUUCUGAGACCUCCUGCCUCCUGAGGGUAUAAAACAGGGACAGGAAUAUUCCAUAAGGACAGACUGACAGAUUGAAAACAUGCUGAGGUUCAUCCUGUUGAGCGCUCUCGCAGCCCUGGUGCUGUCUGAGAAUCUGGUUCCCCAGCCCAGAUACCUGGAAGAUGUAGCUGAGGAAAAAGUUGUGGGUGGCGUGGUCGCCCAGCCCAACUCCUGGCCCUGGCAGAUAUCUCUCCAGUACCAGUCUGGCAGCUCCUACUACCACACCUGUGGAGGUAGUCUGAUCAGGAGAGGAUGGGUCAUGACUGCUGCUCACUGUGUGGACAGCCAGAGGACUUGGCGUGUGGUUCUGGGAGACCACCACCUGAACAGCAACGAGGGUAAGGAGCAGAUCAUGACCGUCAGCAAUGUCUACAUCCACAAUGGGUGGAACUCAAACAACAUCGCCGGAGGAUAUGACAUCGCCCUGCUGCGUCUGUCCACCGAGGCUUCGCUGAACUCUGCUGUCCAGCUGGCUGCUCUUCCUCCAUCUGGCCAGAUCCUACCCAACAACAACCCUUGCUACAUCACCGGAUGGGGACGCACCCAGACUGGCGGUUCUCUGUCCAACAGCCUGAAGCAGGCUUGGCUACCCAGUGUUGACCACCAGACCUGUUCCAGCUCUGGCUGGUGGGGAUCUUCCGUCAAGACCACCAUGGUCUGUGCCGGUGGCGGAGCCAACUCUGGUUGCCAGCGUAAGACCAGUGUAAUGGAGGGGAAGGGGAGAAGACCGAUCGGUUUGGGAUUUGAACCCAUGACCCUGUGUCUGUCCCUCUAAAACCUUAAACGUUACACCAAGAGGUAUGAAGAUGAUUUGUCUUGGUUUUACUGGAUGCGUUUAAUUUACUUUAUAUUUGUUUAUCAUUGGAAUUAUAUCAUAGUUUAGCUACAUGUUUAGAAAAUAAAAAUAACCAGUGACUCUUUUUUGUUAUACAUAAAUAUGAGUAAGAAUAACAAAUUGGAAACUCAGUCCUGAUGAAGCUCUCUCUCUCUCUUCAUCAUUGUAGGGAGACUCUGGCGGCCCCCUGAACUGCCAGGUCAACGGUCAGUACUAUGUCCACGGUGUGACCAGCUUCGUUUCCUCUUCUGGCUGCAACGCCAACCGCAGGCCCACCGUCUUCACCCGUGUGUCUGCUUACAUCAGCUGGAUGAACGGGAUCAUGGGUUGAUCUCCUUUCCUGUACAGAUCAUGGGUUGAUCUCCUUUCCUGUACAGAUCAUGGGUUGAUCUCCUUUCCUGUACAGAUCAUGGGUUGAAAGGGAACAUGGUUUUCGAGCAGAUAGACAGAACCCAGAUUCACCACUGACACUGCUCAACUACACCAACUACCCAGAUUCACCACUGACCCUGCUCAACUACACCAACUACCCAGAUUCACCACUGACCCUGCUCCACUACACCAACUACCCAGAUUCACCACUGACCCUGCUCCACUACACCAACUACCCAGAUUCACCACUGACCCUGCUCAACUACACCAACUACCCAGAUUCACCACUAACCCUGCUCAACUACACCAACUACCCAGAUUCACCACUGACCCUGCUCAACUACACCAACAUUCUGCUCUAAAAGUUCAAUAAACUUCAUUGACUUUGGAGAAAACCUUC
Molecule: non-coding RNA, 1777 nt
Organism: Salmo salar (Atlantic salmon)
Lineage: Eukaryota; Metazoa; Chordata; Actinopteri; Salmoniformes; Salmonidae
Source: RefSeq, a predicted model, not a curated record